AGAAGGCAUGGUAGAUAGGUUGUCAGUUCUACAGAGGCUAAAAAUUAGCAUUUCCCCCCUUUCAGGAAUAUAAUAUCAUAAAACCCCAGGAAUGUGGUCGUUUCAUUAUCUUAUUUUUGUAGCACCGUCGUGCGGAACUGCGGUUAGACUGAGCAUGCCUAGAAAGAUACUGAAACCGCCCACCCUUAGUUUGACUUCAAGGAGGAACUAACGAGAUUACGUAGGGCUGUUCUCGGAAACUGUGAUCCAUGCCAGUAACGUGGCUAAGUCUCCUCCCCGGAAGAAAAGGGAAUUGUGUGUCUCUGCUGAGGAGAAUCCAGUCAACAAAAGCGGUUAUUUAACCUUUUGUUAAGACCACCCAAAAUAACAGUUUACAGGUCUUCGAGAUAUCCAGAACUAUUCUUCUGAAGGGUAAAAAAUACAAAAAAAGAGGACGGGGGGCAGAUCUUUCAGGCCUGGUAGGGUGCAACUUGACUCCUGCUUUGUUAUACUGCUUCAGACCAACACGGCUACCCACCUGGAUCUAGGCCUGUUAAAAAGAUCUGAAAAAGUCAAAAGCUUACACACUGCACUGAUUUUUUUUUUAAAGACCAAUUCUGCCGUUACACUGCAUUUAUCGUGGGACUUUGCUAUCCCUGGCUGGUAUCCUUUGCUCUUCGUAAUGUCGAAAAUAACGAAAAAAUCCAGCCUGUAAACAAAACGACCGUCAGUCCAGCCCUUUGUUACAUCUGUUACGGUCUAGCACGCUCCCUUAGAAGCUAGUUAAAUCUUUCUGCGCUUGGCAGACCGGAAGUUCAUCCUUGUGACCCAACGGAAGUGAUUUGGCAGGGCGACUGGCCCGGCUGGAAUCAGCGGGGGUUUUUGCGAAGCUGCCCCGUGAAUAUCUUCGGGCGCUGGCAGGGCGGAGUUCUUAUUACAAAAACUGCAGAAGUAAAGAAACAGCUAUUUGAUAAGGAGAAAA
Long non-coding RNA from Heteronotia binoei (common prickly gecko), 961 nucleotides. RefSeq lists it as uncharacterized. The record is from RefSeq and is a predicted model, not a curated record. Lineage: Eukaryota; Metazoa; Chordata; Lepidosauria; Squamata; Gekkonidae. The transcript is spliced from 2 exons.